ACUCAAAACCAAUCAAAACCCAUUACUCAAAAUCCAACAAUGGACUCCAUAGGCGUGCUCAUGCCAGUUCCAAUGUCCCCAUAUUUAGAGCAAGAGCUCGAGAAGCGCUUCAACCUCUUGAAGCUCUGGACCGUCCCUCAAAAAACCCAGUUCCUCAAGGACCAUUCCGGCUCCAUCCGAGCCGUCGUCGGUAAUGCAGGGAACGGAGCGGAUGCCGAGCUCAUCGAGACUUUGCCGAAGCUGGAGAUCGUGUCCAGUUUCAGCGUUGGGAUCGAUAAGGUCGAUUUGAACAAGUGCAGGGAAAAGGGUAUUCGGGUCACCAACACGCCCGAUGUUUUGACCGAUGACGUGGCGGACCUUGCUAUUGGGUUGGCGUUGGCUGUGUUGAGAAGGCUCUGUGAGAGUGAUCGGUAUGUGAGGAGUGGGCAGUGGAAGAAGGGUGACUACAAGUUGACCACCAAGUUCACCGGAAAAACAGUUGGCAUCCUCGGUCUGGGAAGAAUUGGCAAAGCAGUUGCCAAGAGAGCUGAGGCUUUUAGCUGCCCAAUCUCUUACCACUCCAGAACAGAAAAACCAGAGUUGAAGUACAAAUACUAUCCAUGUGUUGUGGAGUUGGCCUCGAACUGUGAUAUUCUGGUUGUUGUGUGCGCAUUAACUGAAGAGACCCGUCACAUUAUUAAUCGUGAAGUCAUUGAUGCUUUGGGCCCAAAGGGUGUUCUCAUUAACAUUGGGAGGGGUCCUCAUGUUGAUGAACCUGAGCUGGUCUCUGCUCUGCUAGAAGGCCGGUUAGGUGGUGCUGGACUUGAUGUUUAUGAAAAUGAACCAGAAGUACCUGAGCAGUUGUUUGAGCUUGAGAAUGUGGUACUCUUGCCUCAUGUAGGAAGUGACACUGUACAAACUGACACUGCCAUGGCUGACCUUGUGAUUGGGAAUCUUGAGGCUCACUUUUCAAACAAACCAUUGUUGACACCAGUCGUUUAACAGAGUAUUUGAAGGUAAAGUUGAUUGAAGGCUUCAUUGUCUUGUUCUGGUACCAAAACUUCUUCAAUCCAUGACCAUUGUUUCAAGAGUUGGCAAAGAAUCUUGGUUCUUGUGUGUUUUGAAGAAUGAAGGAUUUCAUCCUUCACUUGCAAGUGCUUGGAACCUCCAACGAGUACAACAAUCUGAAGUAUCCAUUAAGUGGUGGAUACCCUCAAUCGGCAAGAUCUCCUUUACCCUAUGAAGAGUCUGUAAUUUCAAAAUGCCCUAGAAAGAGAGAAAUAAGGGAAUUAAAGUAAUGAAAUUAGGAAAUGAAAUUACCCUUAAAUUUGGUGGAACAAUAUUUGACAAACAAAAAAAAAAAGGGUUGGAAGUGUUCAUUGAUAGAAGUAUCGUCUCCCCUUAUAAGUUCAUAAAAAGCAAAUUUUUUUU
Molecule: RNA transcript, 1410 nt
Organism: Prunus persica (peach)
Lineage: Eukaryota; Viridiplantae; Streptophyta; Magnoliopsida; Rosales; Rosaceae
Gene name: glyoxylate/hydroxypyruvate reductase A HPR2
Exons: 3
Source: RefSeq, a predicted model, not a curated record